GCAAACGCUAAGAACAGGAGUAGUAAGGCUAAUCCGGGUUUAGAGAGCUGCGGGAAGGUGCAACGCAGUCGAAGGAUACCUGAAACUCGCCUGGGAGCGGAGUAGCGGAUAAGCGCGGCUGGCCAUGGAAAGCCCGCAAGUACGUUGCUACGGUUAACCCCCGUAACGGGGUGCGCAUUCGUCAACAUCCGGAGUUGGCAAUGUGCCUAAGGUGGACAUUCGAAGCUGUUUAACUACAGCGGUUAAUGUCAACAAGGGUGGUACCGCGCAGGUUAAUGAUAGCCUGUCGUCUCUUGA
Molecule: non-coding RNA, 297 nt
Filed under: Paenibacillus sp.
Lineage: Bacteria; Bacillati; Bacillota; Bacilli; Caryophanales; Paenibacillaceae
Description: T-box sequence
Rfam family: T-box leader
About the family: Uncharged tRNA acts as the effector for transcription antitermination of genes in the T-box leader family. T-boxes are found upstream of many aminoacyl-tRNA synthetase genes and some amino acid biosynthetic genes usually in Gram-positive bacteria.
Source: RNAcentral